This is a non-coding RNA of Papilio polytes (common Mormon), 72 nucleotides long. The record is from the annotation of a RefSeq genome assembly. NCBI's taxonomy places the organism in Eukaryota, Metazoa, Arthropoda, Insecta, Lepidoptera, Papilionidae.
AGCAGAGUGUCGCAAUGGAAGCGCACUGGGCUGUUGCCCCAGCGGUUCGUGGAUCAAAACCACGCUCUGCUG